This 521-nucleotide unclassified non-coding RNA is filed under the name Hevea brasiliensis (rubber tree). The record is from RNAcentral. Lineage: Eukaryota; Viridiplantae; Streptophyta; Magnoliopsida; Malpighiales; Euphorbiaceae.
AUUGAUGACAUGGUAUGGUUUGCAGAGAGAAACCAUUUUAUCUCAAUAAAAAGAAAAAAGAUUAUUACAAACCUUAAGUACCAUUUCAGUUAGCAUGAUGAAAAUAAAACCCCUUUAACAUUUGCCUGAAUAGAAAGGAUGUUUGGUACAUUGGCAAUUUCCAGGUGCAGGCCUUGGCACCUCUUGCUGCAAAAGGCAGGCAAUGUGCCUGAGGCGCACCCAGGCACGCCUCAGGCACCAUUUAAUCCAUCUACAUUUCCUUUCUUUCUGUUUUAGGGCAGUCCAACAGCCUCUCUCAGUCCCACUGUCAUCCAUAAAAGAAAGAAAGGUUUUUUUUUUCUUGUUUUUUCUUUCUUCCUUUUCUCCUCUCUUGCCGAUCCACCUAGGAUUUAUUUCUUUGAUUCUUUCUUGUUCCUUUUUCCCCCUUUUCCACUCCUACUCUUUCUCUCUCUCCUUUGCUGGAACGUCUGCAUCCCCACCUUUUUUUUCCUUUUGGGAUUUUUUAUUCAUUCUUGUUCUUC